Molecule: ribosomal RNA, 415 nt
Filed under: uncultured prokaryote
Description: bacterial SSU rRNA
Rfam family: Bacterial small subunit ribosomal RNA
Source: RNAcentral
GUGUCAGCCGCCGCGGUAAUACGUAGGGAGCAAGCGUUAUCCGGAUUUACUGGGUGUAAAGGGCGCGCAGGCGGGAAGACAAGUUGGGAGUGAAAUCCGGGGGCUCAACCCCCGAACUGCUUUCAAAACUGUUUUUCUUGAGUGAUGGAGAGGCAGGCGGAAUUCCCAGUGUAGCGGUGAAAUGCGUAGAUAUUGGGAGGAACACCAGUGGCGAAGGCGGCCUGCUGGACAUUAACUGACGCUGAGGCGCGAAAGCGUGGGGAGCAAACAGGAUUAGAUACCCUGGUAGUCCACGCCGUAAACGAUGGAUACUAGGUGUGGGAGGUAUUGACCCCUUCCGUGCCGGCGUUAACACAAUAAGUAUCCCACCUGGGGAGUACGAUCGCAAGGUUGAAACUCAAAGGAAUUGACGGGG